Molecule: ribosomal RNA, 442 nt
Filed under: uncultured bacterium
Lineage: Bacteria
Description: partial 16S ribosomal RNA
Rfam family: Bacterial small subunit ribosomal RNA
Source: RNAcentral
CCUACGGGUGGCUGCAGUGGGGAAUAUUGGGCAAUGGGCGCAAGCCUGACCCAGCAACGCCGCGUGAAGGAAGAAGGCUUUCGGGUUGUUAACUUCUUUUGUCAGGGAAGAGUAGAAGACGGUACCUGACGAUUAAGCCACGGCUAACUACGUGCCAGCAGCCGCGGUAAUACGUAGGUGGCAAGCGUUGUCCGGAUUUACUGGGUGUAAAGGGCGUGUAGCCGGGUUGACAAGUCAGAUGUGAAAUCCUGCGGCUUAACCGCAGAACUGCAUUUGAAACUGGUGAUCUUGAGUACUGGAGAGGCAGAUGGAAUUCCUGGUGUAGCGGUGAAAUGCGUAGAUAUUAGGAGGAACCCCAGUGGCGAAGGCGGUCUGCUGGACAGCAACUGACGGUGAGGCGCGAAAGCGUGGGGAGCGAACAGGAUUAGAUACCCGAGUAGUC